AGAACGAACGCUGGCGGCAUGCCUAACACAUGCAAGCCGAACGAGACCUUCGGGUCUAGUGGCGCACGGGUGCGUAACGCGUGGGAAUCUACCCUUGGGUUCGGAAUAACAGUUGGAAACGACUGCUAAUACCGGAUGAUGACGUAAGUCCAAAGAUUUAUCGCCCAGGGAUGAGCCCGCGUAGGAUUAGCUAGUUGGUGAGGUAAAGGCUCACCAAGGCGACGAUCCUUAGCUGGUCUGAGAGGAUGAUCAGCCACACUGGGACUGAGACACGGCCCAGACUCCUACGGGAGGCAGCAGUGGGGAAUAGUUGGACAAGUGGGCGAAAGCCUGAUCCAGCAAUGCCGCGUGAGUGAUGAAGGCCUUAGGUUGUAAAGCUCGUUUACCCGGGAAGUAUAAGUGACUGUACCGGAGAAUAGCUCCGGCUAACGUCCGUGCCAGCAGCCGAC
Molecule: ribosomal RNA, 449 nt
Filed under: uncultured soil bacterium
Lineage: Bacteria
Description: bacterial SSU rRNA
Rfam family: Bacterial small subunit ribosomal RNA
Source: RNAcentral